AUGCACGCUGGCGGCGUGCCUCAUACAUGCCAGUCGCGCGAACAGACGAGGAGCUUGCUCCUCUGACGUUAGCGGCGGACGGGUGAGUAACCCGUGGAUAACCUACCUAUAAGACUGGGAUAACUUCGGGAAACCGGAGCUAAUACCGGAUAAUAUAUUUAACCGCAUGGUUCAAUAGUGAAAGACGGUUUUGCUGUCACUUAUAGAUGGAUCCGCGCCGCAUUAGCUAGUUGGUAAGGUAACGGCUUACCAAGGCAACGAUGCGUAGCCGACCUGAGAGGGUGAUCGGCCACACGGGAACUGAGACACGGUCCAGACUCCUACGGGAGGCAGCAGUAGGGAAUCUUCCGCAAUGGGCGAAAGCCUGACGGAGCAACGCCGAGUGAGUGAUGAAGGUCUUCGGAUCGUAAAACUCUGUUAUUAGGGAAGAACAAAUGUGUAAGUAACUAUGCACGUCUUGACGGUACCUAAUCAGAAAGCCACGGCUAACUACGUG
RNAcentral lists this ribosomal RNA (496 nucleotides) under uncultured bacterium. RNAcentral describes it as "partial 16S ribosomal RNA". It matches the Rfam family "Bacterial small subunit ribosomal RNA", at positions 29 to 507 of the family's 1533-position model. The record is from RNAcentral.